Polistes dominula (European paper wasp) is the source of this 367-nucleotide long non-coding RNA. Lineage: Eukaryota; Metazoa; Arthropoda; Insecta; Hymenoptera; Vespidae. The record is from RefSeq and is a predicted model, not a curated record.
CCCAGGUAGCCAUCUUGAUUCAGUACUCUCAGUCUCRUUCAAGCAACGCGUGUCUCCUCCUCUUGAAUUUUACCAUACAUACGCAGCAGGAAUUAACAUGCUUGUAGAAAUGGAACCACGUGUGUGUGUAUGUAGAGGAGUUGACUAUACAAUAAAUAAUCAUCAAUUAUGGAACAACAACAAUCUACUAUCCUGUACAAUAUUAUAUUUCCAAGGAGAAAAGAGUAUGGUAUUUCGAUGGAAAUUUAUCAAAAGGAAAUUUGUGAACCUAUAAACGUAAUUCUAAUUGAGAUUCAAUUGUAAUUUGUUGAACUCGCGACAGACUCGUCGCGGUGUCAUGGCGGCGGCCGAAGCUAAAGCAGCGUCG